RNAcentral lists this ribosomal RNA (254 nucleotides) under uncultured bacterium. RNAcentral's name for it is "partial 16S ribosomal RNA". It matches the Rfam family "Bacterial small subunit ribosomal RNA", at positions 524 to 776 of the family's 1533-position model. The record is from RNAcentral.
UACGUAGGGUGCAAGCGUUGUCCGGAAUUAUUGGGCGUAAAGAGCUCGUAGGCGGUCUGUCGCGUCGAUCGUGAAAACUUGGGGCUUAACCCUGAGCUUGCGGUCGAUACGGGCAUGACUGGAGUUCGGCAGGGGAGACUGGAAUUCCUGGUGUAGCGGUGAAAUGCGCAGAUAUCAGGAGGAACACCAGUGGCGAAGGCGACUUCCUGGCCUGUUCUUGACGCUGAGGCGCGAAAGCUAGGGUAGCAAACGGG